AUGGCCGAUGGCCACCGUGGGCAUGGCGACCAAGGCCGCCAGGACAACGACCGUGACAGAGACCGCGGGUCCGUUUGUGAUGAGAGAGAUCAAGACUCGCGCAAUCCGCGACGAGAAGACCGCGACAACCGUGCCCGCAAGAGCGCUGAUAACCUUUGCCCGCUUUGCAAGCAAGUCCAGGAAACUGCGGCGCAUCUUCUCUUCCAGUGUAGGUUCUCCCAGCGUGUUUGGGUUGAGGUUGCUACGUGGAUUGGCCUACAUUGUGAUGUGGUGAGGAGCUGGAGAUUUGAGGCUUCAGUUCGAGAUUGGUGGAUUAAAAAUGUGAGUGAGCGCGGAAACCAGAGAAAGGCUAUCGCCUGCUUAUUCAUGCUUAUGUCUGGGGAGAUUUGGAAAGAGCGCAACGCAAGGGUCUUUUGCAACACUGCCGCUACAACGAUGAUGGUCGUCGUGAAGAUCAAAGAGGAGGCCCGUCUUUGGGCUAUGGCAGGUGCCACCUACUUGAGUAUUGUAAUGCCGCGAGAGUAG
This 525-nucleotide ribosomal RNA is filed under the name Triticum aestivum (bread wheat). RNAcentral's name for it is "partial small subunit ribosomal RNA". Lineage: Eukaryota; Viridiplantae; Streptophyta; Magnoliopsida; Poales; Poaceae. The record is from RNAcentral.